CCUACGGGAGGCAGCAGUGAGGAAUAUUGGUCAAUGGGAGGAAUCCUGAACCAGCCAUGCCGCGUGCAGGACGACGGCUCUACGAGUUGCAAACUGCUUUUGUACCGGGGUAAAAUGCUCUACGAGUAGGGUUUUGAAAGUACGGUACGAAUAAGGAUCGGCUAACUCCGUGCCAGCAGCCGCGGUAAUACGGAGGAUCCGAGCGUUAUCCGGAUUCAUUGGGUUUAAAGGGUGCGUAGGUUGUUUUAUAAGUUAGCGGUGAAAUACCGAUGCUCAACAUCGGGGCUGCCGCUGAAACUGUAGGACUAGAGAUCGGAUGCAGCAGGCGGAAUGUGUAGUGUAGCGGUGAAAGGCAUAGAUAUUACACAGAACACCGAUUGCGAAGGCAGCUUGCUAGGCCGGAUCUGACACUGAUGCACGAAAGCGUGGGUAUCGAACAGGAUUAGAUACCCUUGUAGUC
Molecule: ribosomal RNA, 460 nt
Filed under: uncultured bacterium
Lineage: Bacteria
Description: partial 16S ribosomal RNA
Rfam family: Bacterial small subunit ribosomal RNA
Source: RNAcentral